RNAcentral lists this long non-coding RNA (237 nucleotides) under Brassica napus (rape). RNAcentral's name for it is "long non-coding RNA (BNAP_LNC017947)". Lineage: Eukaryota; Viridiplantae; Streptophyta; Magnoliopsida; Brassicales; Brassicaceae. The record is from RNAcentral.
GAUGUGUGGCAACUUUUCGAACAAAAACUUCUACUCCAUUAUAGUAGUGAGAACCAACUACCAAAUAAUAGUCGAGAUAUUAAGUUUAAGAAAGUGAUUUCCUAACUUCAAAUAUGAAAAUACAUAUGUAUUUGUGGUGAAAUUUAUGAUUGUACAAAUGCAAACCGAAUUCGAUUCAUAAUUUUUAAUAACUAUCGCAAAAAGAAAAUUGGACAUGACUAUAUAUAUUUAGAUCAC